UAACACAUGCAGUCGAACGGCAGCACAGGGGAGUUGCUCUCUGGGUGGCGAGUGGCGGACGGGUGAGGAAUACAUCGGAAUCUACUCUGUCGUGGGGGAUAACGUAGGGAAACUUACGCUAAUACCGAAUACGACCUACGGGUGAAAGCAGGGGACCUUCGGGCCUUGCGCGAUUGAAUGAGCCGAUGUCGGAUUAGCUAGUUGGCGGGGUAAAGGCCCACCAAGGCGACGAUCCGUAGCUGGUCUGAGAGGAUGAUCAGCCACACUGGAACUGAGACACGGUCCAUACUCCUACGGGAGGCAGCAGUGGUGAAUAUUGGACAAUGGGCGCAAGCCUGAUCCAGCCAUACCGCGUGGGUGAAGAAGGCCUUCGGGUUGUAAAGCCCUUUUGUUGGGAAAAGAAAUCCAGCUGGCUAAUACCCGGUUGGGAUGACGGUACCCAAAGAAUAAGCACCGGCUAACUUCGUGCAGCAGCCGCGUUAAUAUCAGCUGGAUUUCUUUCCCACAAAGGGCUUUACAACCCGGAG
RNAcentral lists this ribosomal RNA (527 nucleotides) under Stenotrophomonas maltophilia. RNAcentral describes it as "bacterial SSU rRNA". It matches the Rfam family "Bacterial small subunit ribosomal RNA", at positions 49 to 535 of the family's 1533-position model. Lineage: Bacteria; Pseudomonadati; Pseudomonadota; Gammaproteobacteria; Lysobacterales; Lysobacteraceae. The record is from RNAcentral.